AGUGAACGCUGGCGGCAGGCCUAACACAUGCAAGUCGAACGGCAGCACAGUAAGAGCUUGCUCUUACGGGUGGCGAGUGGCGGACGGGUGCGGAAUACAUCGGAAUCUACUUUUUCGUGGGGGAUAACGUAGGGAAACUUACGCUAAUACCGCCUACGACCUACGGGUGAAAGCAGGGGAUCUUCGGCCCUUGCGCGAUUGAAUGAGCCGAUGUCGGAUUAGCUAGUUGGCGGGGUAAAGGCCCACCAAGGCGACGAUCCGUAGCUGGUCUGAGAGGAUGAUCAGCCACACUGGAACUGAGACACGGUCCAGACUCCUACGGGAGGCAGCAGUGGGGAAUAUUGGACAAUGGGCGCAAGCCUGACCCAGCCAUACCGCGUGGGUGAAGAAGGCCUUCGGGUUGUAAAGCCCUUUUGUUGGGAAAGAAAAGCAGCAGGUUAAUACCCCGCUGUUCUGACGGUACCCAAAGAAUAAGCACCGGCUAACUUCGU
RNAcentral lists this ribosomal RNA (491 nucleotides) under uncultured bacterium. RNAcentral describes it as "partial 16S ribosomal RNA". It matches the Rfam family "Bacterial small subunit ribosomal RNA", at positions 29 to 506 of the family's 1533-position model. The record is from RNAcentral.